UGCGUAGGCGGCUCUAUAAGUAUGGUGUGAAAUCUCCCGGCUUAACUGGGAGGGUGCGCUAUAGACUGUGGGGCUAGAGGGUGGGAGAGGAAAGUGGAAUUCCUGGUGUAGCGGUGAAAUGCGUAGAUAUCAGGAGGAACACCGAUGGUGUAAACGGCUUUCUGGACCAUUUCUGACGCUGAGGCACGAAAGCGUGGGUAGCAAACAGGAUUAGAUACCCUGGUAGUCCACGCCCUAAACGAUGCAUAUUUGGUGUGGGCCAUUCAUUUGGUCUGUGCCGGAGCUAACGCGUUAAAUAUGCCGCCUGGGGAGUACAGUCGCAAGGCUGAA
RNAcentral lists this ribosomal RNA (330 nucleotides) under uncultured bacterium. RNAcentral's name for it is "bacterial SSU rRNA". It matches the Rfam family "Bacterial small subunit ribosomal RNA", at positions 568 to 898 of the family's 1533-position model. The record is from RNAcentral.